GAUCCAUAUACGUCCAGAGAGGAGCAGGUAUCAGAUUUGGGGUCUCCAUGUGACCUUUAUUCUUGGUGGGAUUUUCUUCCAGAAAGAAGCCAUCUGAGAAGCUGACUCCCUGCCCCAGUCAAGCCUUCAGAUGACUGUAGCCCCUGGCAAUAUCUUGGGGGCAAUGGAAGGAGACACCCUGAACCAAUCCACACAGAGAAGCUGACCCUGGAUUCCUGAGCUGGAGAGGCUGCUGCCAUGAAGUGAAAAAUCUACUCUGCCACACACAUUCCUACUGCCAUAAUGCACUGUGCCAUCACAGACACAAAGCAACUGGGCCAAGUGUCAUUGGAAUGCAACUGGUUUGAGCAAGGAAAUUCUAUGGAAGGAUCUGAAGAACUGGAUUGAUCGGCCCUUUGCUGUCUAUCCCCACGUAAGAAGAGAACUGCAAGUGCCAAGGCUCAGAAAUGUUCAAGAGUCGGCAUCCUCUGAGGUAUGGUGAGAAAAAGGUUCUUGAGUGAGGAGCAGAGGGUGCCAUGGCCAGGGGCAUGGAGCAAUCCCAGGUUCCAAUCCCAGGUCUGUAUUUACUAGCUUUAUAACCUGGGAGGAGUUUGGGUAAGUCUUUGAGCUUUUCUUUCCUUAUCUAGAAAAAGGGACAUAACAGUACCUACCUUAGAAGAUUUCUUUCAAUACAGCAUUAGUUCCUAUCUCCUUAGGAAAGCUCACCCUCUUAGCGCGGGUCUCUUCUCCAUGGAUCCACCUAAUCCCUUGUUGAAUACGAAGGGUCAGGAGAGAUUCACUGGAGAAGGGAGAAGAUGGUGGGAGGGAGGGUCAUAGGGGGCAAAGUUAAAAGAAGAGUUGAGUGGGAGUCUGGGUCUCAGAAACAUGUCUCAGAUACCAGUCAGAGAAACAUAAGAGGCCCAAGCUUAUUACUUGCUCAGCAUCAGGCACGUGGCUUCUAAUGCUAUAUUUAAAACGCUACUGAAAUUAUGAUCCUGUUGUAGUUCCUUUGCAGGCUCUUCAUCAACCUAGGUGGAAUGUGUGGCUGGCAGGAAGCCAGCAUCAUCCCUUGAUCCCCUCCUCCAUAUGACUCAGCACAGAUCGGACACUUUAAUAGCUUCUGAGUCCAAGUUUGAACUCGCCCCAAAUGAAAGCCUCCCUCCCCUCAGUGCUUCCCCUACCUUCAC
Molecule: long non-coding RNA, 1166 nt
Filed under: Heterocephalus glaber (naked mole-rat)
Lineage: Eukaryota; Metazoa; Chordata; Mammalia; Rodentia; Bathyergidae
Description: lncRNA (ENSHGLG00100051364.1)
Source: RNAcentral